Molecule: ribosomal RNA, 260 nt
Filed under: uncultured bacterium
Lineage: Bacteria
Description: partial 16S ribosomal RNA
Rfam family: Bacterial small subunit ribosomal RNA
Source: RNAcentral
ACUCCUACGGGAGGCAGCAGUGGGGAAUCUUAGACAAUGGGCGCAAGCCUGAUCUAGCCAUGCCGCGUGAGUGAUGAAGGCCCUAGGGUCGUAAAGCUCUUUCGCCUGUGAUGAUAAUGACAGUAGCAGGUAAAGAAACCCCGGCUAACUCCGUGCCAGCAGCCGCGGUAAUACGGAGGGGGUUAGGCGUUGUUCGGAAUUUACUGGGCGUAAAGCGCACGUAGGCGGAUCAGAAAGUUGGGGGUGAAAUCCCGGGGCUC